RNAcentral lists this RNase P RNA (273 nucleotides) under Candidatus Thorarchaeota archaeon. Its description in RNAcentral is "partial RNase P RNA component". It matches the Rfam family "Archaeal RNase P", at positions 1 to 255 of the family's 288-position model. Rfam says of the family: Ribonuclease P (RNase P) is a ubiquitous endoribonuclease, found in archaea, bacteria and eukarya as well as chloroplasts and mitochondria. The record is from RNAcentral. Lineage: Archaea; Promethearchaeati; Candidatus Thorarchaeota.
UGGAGCAGAAGCGCAACUGACGGUAGUCACUUGUGACAGCUGAGGAAACUCCCGACUCAAACCGACGGCAGUCUGACGAAAGGAAGGAGGUGAGAGCCUCGCUCUGGGAACAGAAACGACACCCCCGAAUUGGAUACGACAAUGAUGCAGACUCGAAUCUGUUGAGGACCAGUUCGGAUAGGUUGAAACGGCCCAUCACUGUUGAGCAAUCUCAAGAAUACAUCGCUAAGGUGUCGGUCCAAGAUGUAGGGUAGAGAGCACAGUUAGAUGUUG